GAUGAACGCUGGCGGCGUGCCUAAUACAUGCAAGUCGAGCGAACAGACGAGGAGCUUGCUCCUCUGACGUUAGCGGCGGACGGGUGAGUAACACGUGGAUAACCUACCUAUAAGACUGGGAUAACUUCGGGAAACCGGAGCUAAUACCGGAUAAUAUAUUGAACCGCAUGGUUCAAUAGUGAAAGACGGUUUUGCUGUCACUUAUAGAUGGAUCCGCGCCGCAUUAGCUAGUUGGUAAGGUACCGGCUUACCAAGGCAACGAUGCGUAGCCGACCUGAGAGGGUGAUCGGCCACACUGGAACUGAGACACGGUCCAGACUCCUACGGGAGGCAGCAGUAGGGAAUCUUCCGCAAUGGGCGAAAGCUUGACGGAGCAACGCCGCGUGAGUGAUGAAGGUCUUCGGAUCGUAAAACUCUGUUAUUAGGGAAGAACAAAUGUGUAAGUAACUAUGCACGUCUUGACGGUACCUAAUCAGAAAGCCACGGCUAACUACGUG
RNAcentral lists this ribosomal RNA (497 nucleotides) under uncultured bacterium. RNAcentral describes it as "partial 16S ribosomal RNA". It matches the Rfam family "Bacterial small subunit ribosomal RNA", at positions 28 to 507 of the family's 1533-position model. The record is from RNAcentral.